RNAcentral lists this long non-coding RNA (508 nucleotides) under Dasypus novemcinctus (nine-banded armadillo). RNAcentral describes it as "lncRNA (ENSDNOG00000050691.1)". The record is from RNAcentral. Lineage: Eukaryota; Metazoa; Chordata; Mammalia; Cingulata; Dasypodidae.
AUCGUUGGAACGGCUGGUCCCCUCCCUCUGGGGAACACAGCCGUCUCUCCCCUGACCCUCCUGGUUAUCCUCUCUUGGGGAUUCCGGACUUCCAGCUGGGGUGCCCCAUCCAAGCCCCAUUUUCAGAAGGGGAGUCUAUAAGGGAUCCUCCGGUGCCAGGCAGUGGCGGCUGACCCGAGGAGGCCCCAUGCCUGUUUGGGGGGAUGAGCGCCCUGUAAUUAUUAAUUCUGUGGCCCAGGCCCGGGUCGCUCAUUUACUGGCAAGACCAAAGUCUGGGGCCGAAAGAGCUGAGGCUGCUUCGGGCUUUUCUCAGAAAUCGCCUCAUCCCCCCGCGCCUCGCUCUUUGUGCUCCAGCCUUCUGCCUUGCACGCCGGAGGCAGGGCCCCAGCCUGAGAGCUCCUGCUGCUGCUCGCAGUCCCAGAGCCCCACCAGGACCACCGUGCGUGUGGAUGGCAGCCUCUGGAGUUGUGCAGUGUGCGGCCCUGCGCCUGGCCCGGGCUGCGUCUGA